RNAcentral lists this long non-coding RNA (350 nucleotides) under Mytilus galloprovincialis (Mediterranean mussel). Lineage: Eukaryota; Metazoa; Mollusca; Bivalvia; Mytilida; Mytilidae. The record is from RNAcentral.
GUCAUUUUGUUUAUUUUCUUGGACUCGGAAUUGGACUUCUCUUAAACUGAGUUUUACUGUGCGUAUUGUUGUGCGUUUGUUUUUUUUCUACAUUGUCUUGCGGUAUAGGGGUUAGGGUUGAGAUCUCAAAGAACAUGUUUAAUCGCGCCGCAUGUUUGCGCCUGUGCCAAGUCAGGAGCCUCUAGCCUUUGUUAGUUUUGCAUGAUUUUUCAUUUUAGUUUCUUGUGGAUAAUUCGGAUUUAAGUAUCACUGAACUAGCAUACAAAUUUGUUUAGGGCCAGCUGCGGGAGUUUUUCGCUGCAUUGACGACCCAUUGUUGGCUUUCGACUGUUGUCUGCUCUACGGUCGGG